UACGGAGGGUGCGAGCGUUGUCCGGAAUCAUUGGGCGUAAAGGGCGCGUAGGUGGCCACUAUAAGGCCGCGGUGAAAGUUCGGGGCUCGAACCCUGAAUCUGCCGCGGCGACUGUAGGGCUAGGGCACCGUAGAGGCAGAUGGAAUUCCGGGUGUAGCGGUGGAAUGCGUAGAGAUCCGGAAGAACACCGGUGGCGAAGGCGGUCUGCUGGGCGGUGAACUCGCAAGAGUUCAAUAGCCGACACUGAGGCGCGACAGCGUGGGGAGCAAACAGG
RNAcentral lists this ribosomal RNA (274 nucleotides) under uncultured bacterium. RNAcentral describes it as "partial 16S ribosomal RNA". It matches the Rfam family "Bacterial small subunit ribosomal RNA", at positions 524 to 776 of the family's 1533-position model. The record is from RNAcentral.